ACUAGAAUUACCAUUGUGUCUAUUUCUUGGUUCUGCUUCUAGGGGAAAAGAAAGGCAGUCCGAGGAACUCAGGAUGGCGUUUUCUCCAUAAGUCAGAAGUUAACACAUGCGAUUUUGCUGUUAUUUCUUUAAAAAUGUUUUAGUGGUGGUUGAAUCUUGAAGAAUGAAAUGUUCUGGCCGUCGGACUGGAUUUAAUCACUAUUUUGCUGUACUAGGCUUCUCCUGCCUUUCUGGAACCCAGUUGCUGGGGAAUUUAGCUGCUGACAGAAAGUCAGGACUCAGUAACAUAAAUAUCUCCUCGUAUGCUGCCUUUGGAGGCUCGUGAGUCAGAGUGCAGCGUGUGUCACAGGGACGAUUUCAUUCCACCACCCGGCGUCGGGAAAUAGAUCGUCUGUGGGCUGUGACCGAAGUUGGGACAAGUACUGGCAACGACAAUCUGCUGUACGGUUUUCAAAGCAGAGCGAAGGAAGCUUUACUAAGGAAAGGUCAUCUGAAAUCAGAAAUGACUUUCCAAAGAACUGUCCGUUCGCUCCAUCUCAAAAUCUGGACAAGCCUAAGACAGCAGGACAUCGCCAGGAGCGUUGUUCUGCAGCUGAUCCGAGCCCUAAAAGGCAGAGAGGGUGACAGGAGACGGCUUCUCUUUGCAGUAGGAAAGGGGGGUAGAAUUUUCUGAGUUGCUUCGGCAGGAGGAGGAUCCGGUUAGAGAAAUUCCACAUAGAAAUAGUCUCCCCUCCGCCAACACCCCCCACACGCGAUGAGGAGAAAGCGGACAGACAUAAACUGAGCCCCUGUACAACCCCCAGCCCUGUCCCCCCUGCCUCCCAUGGGGUCCUCCCGGUAGCGUCCCGGUGCUACCGGGAAGCAUUUGGGAAGAAUCAGCCCAGCGCCCUUGGAGCCCGCGGCUCCCACGGCCCUCGCCCGCGUCACUCUCCCUCCCCGCGCUCCAGGCGCGCGCCGGCCUUCACCUUGAUCCGCACGUAGCAGUGGGUGCCCAGGGAGGGGUCGCUGAGGCACGCGGGCGGGUGUGCCCGGGCCGUCCGGCGGAAGGUCUGCGCCGGUGCCUUUCCGAUGCUCCACAAAAGUUUGAGCAGGUGGACGGAGGCGCACAGCCCGCAGUAGCCAUACACCAGGGACCAGUAGAGCAGGGCGCGCAGCGCGGGCACCAGGCGAGCCGGGCGCGGCGGGGCCAUGGGGCGGC
Long non-coding RNA from Arvicola amphibius (Eurasian water vole), 1198 nucleotides. RefSeq lists it as uncharacterized. The record is from RefSeq and is a predicted model, not a curated record. Lineage: Eukaryota; Metazoa; Chordata; Mammalia; Rodentia; Cricetidae. The transcript is spliced from 3 exons.